This 1372-nucleotide long non-coding RNA is filed under the name Macaca mulatta (Rhesus monkey). RNAcentral describes it as "lncRNA (ENSMMUG00000062031.1)". The record is from RNAcentral. Lineage: Eukaryota; Metazoa; Chordata; Mammalia; Primates; Cercopithecidae.
AUGUGGCUGGUUUUACCCUUCCAGGUUGACAGUGGUGAUAAGAGAAAUCUAUUUGGGACUAUACUUCAGGCAAAGAGAAGAACUGAUGUUCAGACUUACAAAAGAGGUAGAACAUAUAUGCUUCCCAUUAUGCGAGAAAGAAACAGGCCUGAGAGUCUAAUGGAUUACUCAAGUCUAUGCUGCCAAGGAAGAACAGAAUCUUUAGUCUCUACUUUAAUCCUUUACAUCUUUCAAAAGCUGAUAUCCGUAUGAAGGACCAUAAAUCCUCCUUAAUAUCCUUGUGGAUGAUGGAAAGACUAGAAGGUAAGAAGAUAUUAAUUGGAAAUUAAAUAAUUUGGAAGAGGAGAACCCUACCUUUUGGCUGUCUAUAAAAUUAGGUUAUUGGACUAGACAACUUAAAAAUUCUAACAUGAGAAUGAUAGAUAAUCAAAUUAUCCUGCAUUUGGGAUUCAUGCUAAAUGAGCACAGGCAAACCUCACUUUAUUGUGCUUUGCUUUGUUGUGUUUUUCAGAUAUCAUGUGUUUUACAAAUUGAAGGUUUGUGGAAACCCUGCAUAAAGCAAGUCUGUUGGUGACAUUUUCCCAACAGCAUUUGCUCACUUUGUGUUUCUGUGUCACAUGUUAGUAAUUCUUACAAUAUUUCAAACCUUUUUAUUAUUAUAUCUGUUCUGGUGAUCUGUGAUCAGUGAUCUUUGAUGUUACUACUAUAAUUUUUUUGGAUGCUGUGAACUGUGCCCAUAUAAAAUGGUGAAUUAAAUCAACACAAGUUGUGUGGUUCUUCCUGCUCCAAUGACCAGUUAUUCCCUGACCUCUCUCCCUGUUCUCAGACCUUCCUAGCCCCUGAGACAACAGUCUUGAAAUUAGGCUAAUUAACAAUCCUGCAAUGUCAUCUAAGUGUUAAAGUCAAAGGAAGAGUCACAAGUCUCUAACUUUAAAUCAAAAGCUAGAAAUAAUUAAGCUUAGUCAAAAAGGCAUGUUGAAAGCUGAGAUAGGCAGAAAGCUAGGCCUCUUGCACCAAUCAGUUAGUUGAGUUGUGGAUGAAAAGAAAAAGUUUUUGAGGAAAUUAAAAGUACUACUUCAGUGACUGCUCAAAUGAUAAGAAAGUAAAACACCCUUAUGCUAUUAUGGAGGGAGUUUUAAUGGCCUGGACAGAUCAAACUGGCUACAACAUUCCCUUAAGCUAAAGCCUAAUCCAGAGAAAGGCCCUAACUCUCUUCAAUUCUAUGAAGGCUGACAGAGGUGAGGAGGCUAAGGACAAAAAGUUGGAAGCUAGCAGAGGUCAUUCAUGAGGUUUAAGGAAAGAAGUCAUCUCCAUAAAAUAAAAGUACAAGGUAAAGCAGCUUGUGCCAAUGGAAAAGCUGCGUCCAGUCAUC